RNAcentral lists this ribosomal RNA (375 nucleotides) under uncultured organism. RNAcentral describes it as "partial 16S ribosomal RNA". It matches the Rfam family "Bacterial small subunit ribosomal RNA", at positions 526 to 896 of the family's 1533-position model. The record is from RNAcentral.
CGGGGGGGGCAAGCGUUGUUCGGAAUUACUGGGCGUAAAGGGCGCGCAGGCGGCCUGGGGCCAGUCCUACGUGAAAUCCCACAGCUCAACUGUGGAACUGCGUGGGAUACUGCCAGGCUUGAGUCCGGGAGAGGAGAGUGGAAUUCCCAGUGUAGCGGUGAAAUGCGUAGAUAUUGGGAGGAACACCGGUGGCGAAGGCGGCUCUCUGGACCGGUACUGACGCUGAGGCGCGAAAGCUAGGGGAGCAAACGGGAUUAGAUACCCCGGUAGUCCUAGCCGUAAACUUUGAGCACUUGGUGUGGCGGGUAUCGACCCCUGCCGUGCCGAAGCUAACGCAUUAAGUGCUCCGCCUGGGGAGUACGGUCGCAAAGGCUG